UACGUAGGGUGCAAGCGUUGUCCGGAAUUAUUGGGCGUAAAGAGCUCGUAGGCGGUCUGUCGCGUCGGCUGUGAAAACUUGGGGCUCAACCCCAAGCCUGCAGUCGAUACGGGCAGACUAGAGUCCGGCAGGGGAGACUGGAAUUCCUGGUGUAGCGGUGAAAUGCGCAGAUAUCAGGAGGAACACCGGUGGCGAAGGCGGGUCUCUGGGCCGGAACUGACGCUGAGGAGCGAAAGCGUGGGGAGCGAACAGG
RNAcentral lists this ribosomal RNA (253 nucleotides) under uncultured bacterium. Its description in RNAcentral is "partial 16S ribosomal RNA". It matches the Rfam family "Bacterial small subunit ribosomal RNA", at positions 524 to 776 of the family's 1533-position model. The record is from RNAcentral.